Molecule: ribosomal RNA, 21 nt
Filed under: Eugeissona utilis
Lineage: Eukaryota; Viridiplantae; Streptophyta; Magnoliopsida; Arecales; Arecaceae
Description: partial 26S ribosomal RNA
Source: RNAcentral
GCGACCCCAGGUCAAGGCGGG